AAUGUAUAGCAAUAGCUACUUGCAUCAUUGUAAAUAUGAUGCAAGAUCGACUAUGUCGAAUAAAAUUCUAGGUAGAAUUAUGAUAAUGACAUUGUCUGCCUAUGUGUCUUGACCAAAUUACGUGCCAGCAGUCGCGGUAAUACGUAGAAGACUAGUGUUAUUCAUGUUUAAUCGGUUUAAAGGGUACCUAGACGGUAAAUCAAGCCUAAAAGGAAAUAAAUGAAGGGACUAAUUUACUAGAGUUACUUAUGAGGGGGUAUUAAAGUACUGCUGGUGUAGAGAUGAAAUUCUGUCAUACCUCUUUUCAAUAGAAAAAUAAUGGCACAGGUAUAGGCGAAAGCAUCCCCUUAUGUGAUAACUGACGUUGAGGGACGAAGGCUUUGUGUAGCAAACAGGAUUAGAUACCCCAGUAGUCAAAGCAGAAAAUGAUGAAUGUCAUAGAUUAGAUAUAUAAGUUUAUUCUAUAAAUGAAAGUGUAAGCAUUCCACCUCAAGAGUAAUUUGGCAACAUUGGAACUGAAAUCAUUAGACCGUUUCUGAAACCAGUAGUGAAGUAUGUUGUUUAAUUUGAUGAUCCGCAAAAAACCUUACCACAAUUUGAAUAUUUAUAUCUUUUAUUGUUUUUCUUUUUAACUUUUUCUAAUUUUCUACUUAAAAGAAAAAAAUAACAAGAAAAAAGAGACAAUAAGAUAUAUUUACAAGCGUUGCACGGCUGUCUUCAGUUAAUGUCGCGAGACUAUGGUUAGUUCCAUUAAAUUAACGUAAACCCUUACUUUAUUUUUAUAUAGAGUAGUUCCCCGCUAUAUUGGAUAUGAUAACAGG
Molecule: ribosomal RNA, 821 nt
Filed under: Vulpicida tilesii
Lineage: Eukaryota; Fungi; Ascomycota; Lecanoromycetes; Lecanorales; Parmeliaceae
Description: SSU rRNA
Rfam family: Bacterial small subunit ribosomal RNA
Source: RNAcentral